RNAcentral lists this ribosomal RNA (464 nucleotides) under uncultured bacterium. RNAcentral describes it as "bacterial SSU rRNA". It matches the Rfam family "Bacterial small subunit ribosomal RNA", at positions 87 to 549 of the family's 1533-position model. The record is from RNAcentral.
GAUGGCGACCGGCGCACGGGUGAGUAACACGUAUCCAACCUGCCGUCUACUCUUGGACAGCCUUCUGAAAGGAAGAUUAAUACAAGAUGGCAUCAUGAGUCCGCAUGUUCACAUGAUUAAAGGUAUUCCGGUAGACGAUGGGGAUGCGUUCCAUUAGAUAGUAGGCGGGGUAACGGCCCACCUAGUCUUCGAUGGGUAGGGGUUCUGAGAGGAAGGUCCCCCACAUUGGAACUGAGACACGGUCCAAACUCCUACGGGAGGCAGCAGUGAGGAAUAUUGGUCAAUGGGCGAGAGCCUGAACCAGCCAAGUAGCGUGAAGGAUGACUGCCCUAUGGGUUGUAAACUUCUUUUAUAAAGGAAUAAAGUCGGGUAUGGAUACCCGUUUGCAUGUACUUUAUGAAUAAGGAUCGGCUAACUCCGUGCCAGCAGCCGCGGUAAUACGGAGGAUCCGAGCGUUAUCCGGA